Dermochelys coriacea (leatherback sea turtle) is the source of this 1153-nucleotide long non-coding RNA. RefSeq lists it as uncharacterized. NCBI's taxonomy places the organism in Eukaryota, Metazoa, Chordata, Testudines, Dermochelyidae. The record is from RefSeq and is a predicted model, not a curated record. The transcript has 3 exons.
GCUCUUAUUUUUCAGGAGGGUGGAGCCUGUUUAUCCAUUUAUAGAUUAAAAUAAAAAGCAAAGUCAGUUAUCUUUUUUCUUUUUCUUUUUUUUUAAAAGGUAAUUUACCCAUGCUGGUGUAAACUCCAGCUCAUGAUUUGUUUGACAUAUUAGUAUUUCUCUUCUGAUCUAGUGCUGAAAUAUGAACUCUAAAAAUGAUAUAACUUAGCCACUAGGUGCUAAGCAAACACACUUUCCCGAAAGGAAGUUGAUUUAGUCACCUGGAUUGAAAUAUGAUGCUUAAAACUGUUAGCCUAAUAAUUUUGUAAAUUACUUCGGCUGGUGGUUUAGAUUUUCCUGCAGCUGUGAAUUAGGUGGAAAAAUAGUGCAGCUGAACAUAAUGUUGCUUUGUCAGUAGAGCACUCAUUGCUGGCAGGAUGUCAAGCCUGGAAAAGUAAAGAGGUCAUGACUCCACAUCUGUUUUGUGGAGAACAUAGUUAUUAGCACUAGUAUUACAGUGAACACUGGAGUGGAAAACAAAUAACUCCCGAGCUGAGUUGCUAGUAAUGAUACCUUUUAGAGUUGUUCCAUAGAUUGCAUUGGCUAGAUUCCUCCUAGCCAAACACUCUAGGAAACAAGUUUUGGAUAAAAUGCUCAAACAUAAGGUGGAGUUAUUUCAGUUAGUCUACAAAAUCUGAGGUUUUUCCCCUUUACUCUGUCACCUUUUCUCCUUCUCUGGUGGUUAGCUGAGGCUCUUCUUCAGGCCUGGUGCUAGACUACAGCUCUUUCGUUUGUAUAGUUUUCUGCUAUCUCUUACUGAUAUUUGUUGAAAGGUUAAAGAACCUUGUUUAAUGUAACUGGAAUUCAUUACAUUGCUUGGAUUUUUGUUGUAAUACUAUUAAAUAAGUUUACCCUAACACUUGCCUUUGAUACAGAACAAACUGCUAGUCUGAACAGGCUGUGACACUCCUGUGUACUAUUACCUAGCACUAACAGAAAUAAUAAUGACACAUUAUACGCUGGUUAGGAUGGGGACUAUCUUUACUACGUGUAAACCACAAUGGGGCACCGGGUUCAUUUGGGCCUGUAGGCACUACUGUACUGUAAUAGAAAACUAACGCUGUCUGUUUUGUUUAAUUUUUUCAAAACCUGCUUUUCCAUUCUAAGCAUCUAA